UUGUUUAUAUGCACAAUAACCAGGUUGACAGAUAUCAAGUGGUGCCAAAUCUACAUAUUUUACAAACGGAUAAAUACGGCAACAAUUAUAUUCCUACAAGACGAAGCUAACUCAUACACCACUACACAUGCAAAAAAAAGGAAGGUGACGGUGGAAUUGGUGGAGGUUUUUGGAUUUAGCACUGGUGCAAUAUAGACAACGCAGAAACAAUUGAAAAUAACAUGAUAUUGAAGAUACAAAGGCGUUAGGCGUCAAUUGGUAAUAUCAAGUGAAGACAGGUCCUUCUCCACCUGGUCCUUCCAUCGGAGUGGAGGUCUCCCUCUCCCUCGGCUUCCACCGGCGGGUACAGCAUCGAAAACUUUCAGAGCUGAGGCACUUUCGUCCAUUCGAACAACAUAACCAAGCCCGCGUAGCCGCUGUCUUUUUAUUCGCUGGACUAUGCCUAUGUCGUCAAACAACACAUACAGCUCAUCAUUUCAUCUUAUGCGGUAUUCGCCGUUGCCAAUGUUUAAGGGACCAUAAAUCCGCAAAACCUUUCUCUCGAAAACUCCUAGUGCCGUCUCAUCGGAUGUUGACACCGUCCACGCUUCUGUACCAUAAAGUAGGACGGGAAUGAUGAGGGACUUGUAGAGUUUAGUUUUUGCUCAUCGAGAGAGGACUUUACUUUUCAAUUGCCUACUCAGAAAAUAAACACAAAUACUUUGUACAAAUGGAGGAUUACAAUAGCUACAACUUUUCUUAGGCAUGAUAAACAAGACAACAACAAAUCCCAUCGGACAUUUAGAUUAGCAGUUGCACAACCUCUUUCCGACGAGCUGAACCUUUUUAUGAUGUACAUAUGGGAUAGGAGUGUGUAGAAUUGACAUCAAACAUAUUGGUUCAUUAGUUUGGUUGGAUCCUUACAGGAUAGUUAUAAGGAAAUCGUUCGCGUUUAGUAUUAAUUUAUUCAUUUGCUAAUUCAUAAUUUAUAUGUAAAAUAUUAUUAAAUUAUACAAAUGAAUGUUAGAAUACUAAUAACAUUCGUAAUAGUAAUGGGAUUUUAUUUGAAUUGUAUAACAACAACUACAAAAAAUAAAAA
Zeugodacus cucurbitae (melon fly) is the source of this 1078-nucleotide long non-coding RNA. RefSeq lists it as uncharacterized. The transcript is spliced from 4 exons. The record is from RefSeq and is a predicted model, not a curated record. NCBI's taxonomy places the organism in Eukaryota, Metazoa, Arthropoda, Insecta, Diptera, Tephritidae.